GGUCGUGCUGAAGACCCGUUUCCUGGGCUACAGAAGGGGAAUUAGUUCCUUAUUCUUCUGCCUAGGGAAAAAAGUUCCUGGACCUCGGGCAGAGAGUGCCUCAUGCAUGCGCACAUAGACAUCCCUCCGCCUCCCACGGUAAAGUCCACCAAGAAGCCAAAAAAUAUAUAUAUAUACAUAUACAUAUAUAUAUAUAUAUACACAUAGGAUGGUAAAGGUUUGUAUUUUAGUCUAUCAAACAGGUGCUGAGGUGCUAAUCACACACACACGCACACAUACACACUUGCAUAAAGACUAAGGCAAAGAAGAGAUGCUCUGGGCACCUAGCAAGUGACAUUUGUUUUCAGAGAUUGGAUAGAAUGGAUAGUGGGCUAAAGUGUGUUAUUUUCUUCUUUGCAUAAU
RNAcentral lists this long non-coding RNA (402 nucleotides) under Prolemur simus (greater bamboo lemur). Its description in RNAcentral is "RNase MRP (ENSPSMG00000011716.1)". It matches the Rfam family "RNase MRP", at positions 1 to 208 of the family's 266-position model. From Rfam's summary of the family: RNase MRP is an enzymatically active ribonucleoprotein with two distinct roles in eukaryotes. In mitochondria it plays a direct role in the initiation of mitochondrial DNA replication. The record is from RNAcentral. Lineage: Eukaryota; Metazoa; Chordata; Mammalia; Primates; Lemuridae.